CCAACCGGGAUUGCCUUAGUAACGGCGAGUGAAGCGGCAAAAGCUCAAAUUUGAAAUCUGGUACCUUCGGUGCCCGAGUUGUAAUUUGUAGAGGGCGACUUUGGGGCGGCUCCUUGUCUAUGUUCCUUGGAACAGGACGUCAUAGAGGGUGAGAAUCCCGUGUGGCGAGGAGUGCGGUUCCGUGUAAAGCGCUCUCGAAGAGUCGAGUUGUUUGGGAAUGCAGCUCUAAGUGGGUGGUAAAUUCCAUCUAAAGCUAAAUAUUGGCGAGAGACCGAUAGCGAACAAGUACAGUGAUGGAAAGAUGAAAAGAACUUUGAAAAGAGAGUGAAAAAGUACGUGAAAUUGUUGAAAGGGAAGGGCAUUUGAUCAGACAUGGUGUUUUGCGCCCCUCGCUCCUUGUGGGUGGGGGACCCUCGCAGCUCACUGGGCCAGCAUCAGUUUUGGCGGUCGGAUAAAACCAGGGGAACGUAGCUUGCUUCGGGAAGUGUUAUAGCCCUUGGGAAUACGGCCAGCCGGGACUGAGGAACGCGAUUCGUCAAGGAUGCUGGCAUAAUGGUUAUAUGCCGCCCGUCUUGAAACACGGACCUCCUGUGUGAAGGGAUCCCGCUA
RNAcentral lists this ribosomal RNA (609 nucleotides) under Maudiozyma exigua. Its description in RNAcentral is "eukaryotic LSU rRNA". It matches the Rfam family "Eukaryotic large subunit ribosomal RNA", at positions 65 to 664 of the family's 3401-position model. Lineage: Eukaryota; Fungi; Ascomycota; Saccharomycetes; Saccharomycetales; Saccharomycetaceae. The record is from RNAcentral.